UUUUUUUUUGGUUGGGUGUGACCAUGGUCCCUGCCCAGUUCCGGGCCACAGGAAGGCUCCUCCGCCUGCAGGAUGGAUGAGACAUCCAAAUUUUGUAUCCUAGCUAAAGUGCACCACAAAUAUUAAUAUUAAUAUUCUCGUAUAUAUGCCUAUUACAAACUUGUUUCUUGUUAACGCCAAACAUGAAUUGAAGGCAGUUUACAAUUAAUUUGCAAAAAGAUAAAAGAGGACUGUGGGCAGAGCAUCAUCAGUUGUAGACGCAGCUGCCGUCGUCGCUUCUGGCUGUUGGGUCGAAGUUGCCGGCCUUUGGGUCGGUGCACCCCUCGGGCACGGGCACGCCCACCUGCUGCGCCGCCUUGCCGUAGUACAAGUUGCCGGCGGUGAUGGCUUCGUCGUGGUUGGCGUCGCCGAGCGCCGCCUCGCUGAGGUACUUGUCGGCCAGCUGCACGCGCUUGACGUUCUCCUGCUCCGCCACCAGCAUGUGGCCGUACUCGAGCAGCUUCUCCAGCGUCAUCUUGGGCUGCUGGAACGUCGGCGGGCCCUCCCUGGAGUUGACGAGCUUCCGGCCGAUGUUCUCGAUGCCGGUCUCGGCGACCCACCGGCGCACCUCGUCGUCGUACACCCGGGCUCGCAGCGCGCCGAAGAAGUCGAUGGACUGCCCCGGGAAGGUGUCGACGAGCUUCACGACGGCCUCGUCGGGGACGCCGUCGGUGCGGAAGAUGCCCUUGCAGACUCCUAUCCUAUCCUCGCGGGUGGGCGCCCAGUAGAACUUGUCCAUGCGGCCGUCGCGGAUGAGCGGCGCGUACAGCGUGGAGAAGUCGUUGCCGGUGACGACGAUGGGGACACGGGGGUUCUCCUCCUUGUUGUACAUGCCGGGGAGCUGCACGUUGGUGGGGUUGUCGGCGAUGUUCAUCAGGGUGGCGUUCACCAUCUGGUUGUUCACCGUGUACUGCGUGGUGCCGCCCAUGCGCCCGGCGCCGGCGUCGAGGUCGUUGAUGAAGAGCACGCACAUCCUGCCCUUGCUGAUGAUGUCGGCGGCCUCGCGGUAGCGCUGGCGGAUGAGCUUGGCGGGCUCGCCGGCGUUGCCGCUCUCCAGCUCGCCGGCGCUCAUCAUGACGGGGUUGAUGCCCAUCUUGGCGAAGACGAGCUCGCACUGGAAGGACUUGCCCUGGCCCUUGCCGCCCCAGAUGCCCAGGAUGAGGGGCACCUUGAUGUUGGGCAGGGACAUGAAGUUCUUGGCGAUGUGGACCACCAGCUUGUCCAUGAACGCCGGAGCGAUGUAGUAGCCGUCCAUCAUGUUGUCCAGGUUGUACUGACGGAGACCCUGGCUGAGGUACUCGUAGGAGCUGAGCACGGCCUCGUGGGUGCCGUCGCCCAUGGGCGCCUGGAACAGGGAGUCCACCAGGCCCUUGCCGCGAGUGAUGUCCUGCUGGUCGUCGGAGAUGUCGUGGGCGAGGCCCCUCCACCUGUCGCUCUCGGUCUGCUUGGUCUCGUCCACGGCCUCCUUCUUACUAUUGCUGGCCGACGCCGCCAUCGCCAUGACGACGACUCUGCUUCGACGGUGCUGCUUCCUGGUGGUGAUGAGCUUCUUCUUCUUCUUCCCAACGCCGAGGAAGCUGCUCGGCGUCGAGGCCAAAUUUAAAGCAGCAGCAGCAGCCAUCUCGAUCGAUCGAUCUCAAGAUUAUUGGACGUACAAAUUGAAUGGGAUUGAAGAUGAUGACGAUGAGUUGUAGUAUAUAUAGCAGGGUAAAGAUAUGCAGCUGCUAAAUUGAUGAGCAGGCAGUAGCUAGUGUGGUCUGGAUCCUUCCCGAUUGCUCACUGGAUCUCCAGAACGUUAACGAACAAGUGUGCAGUGGUGGCCUGGUGGGUACGUGAGGCUGAUGAGUGGCCAACAUGUUAGUACGUCCAUCCAAACACUGCUAUCCCAGCCUGACAUGCGUACGCUGUCGAUCGGAUGGGCCGCGUGGGCCCCCACCCUGGAUUUAGCAUUUGAGUACCGCUCUAUCCAUCCAUCCUGUUUUAGCACAGCUUUUUUUAAGUGUUUAUAAUAAUUCUUACUAUAUAUCUUGUAUGUCUAAGAAAAAAAAUCAAAACAAACUACAGUUUAAAAUGGAGGGAAUAUUUAGCAAAAAAAAAUAGGCCAUGUUUGGACCGCAUAUACCGGCUCCAGGGAUCGCCAAAAUGAUUGAGCAAGAACCGAGGGUUUACUGAACCCUUGCAUUAACCCUCAAUCUAUGAGCUUAGUGCGCUAAGGUCGUUGGGUUGGGGAAAAAACUCAUCUUUAGUCGUACUUGCAUUGGAUGGUUCUUAGCGAUUUCAAGAUUAGCCGCUAGACGAUCGCAUAACCUUUGAUCUAACGGAUGACCACCGGGAGCCUUGUUUCUACUCUUUUGUCACGUUUUAGAUACUUGAGUCUCGAGGCUUUUGUCAAGAGAGAACGAAUUGAAGGAUCCAUACAGCUUUUACAAAGCAUGAGAAUCGAAAUUGGUGAUCAUCUCCACGGAAGGGGAGAAGACGACAGGGUAUGCAUGGCGAGCUCAGCAGCUGGCUGCAACGAGCUCUCUGCCGCAGCACGCAGCAGCUGGCGUGCUCCUCGAUCUAGAUAGAUUGUAACGUUUUCGUCAGCGCCCCUCGAUGCCGCCCUGGCUCUCCAUCGGAGUUCCUUUCUCCACUUCCGGUCACAUCAAUCUCCAUCGGCGGCUGUGGCUCACGGCUUCGCCGGAGGUGCCGGAGAGUCCAUUUGUCCAGGCCUCGCCGGCGUGGAGCGAGCGAGCGACCGACGACCUGGGGACGUCGGCGUUCACCCGGAACGCCGCGUGGGAGAGGAGAGGCGACAAAGAAAAAAAAAAAAGGGAAGCGUCAAGAGUACUGGUCGUUUUCUCCCUCUAUCUGAGGAGUGUUGAAAAGAAUUAUUGGAAUGGAACAAACCAAAAAAUAUUGAAAAAAAGAAGAUGCAUUUCCAAUACUAGUCGUUUUUUUGGGAAAGAGAGACCUUUUUUUUGAGGGGGGAAAAGAGAGACUGAUGCUCUGAGGAAUUGAGGAAACACAGGUACCAAAAAAAGAAGAGGGAGAAAACACAAGCCGGGCCUUAACGGGCGGCCAGGCUAUGGCCCGCUAAGGCACGGCCCGUUAAGGCCCGCUCGGGGUCCCCAUCCCACCACGCGCCCCUCCCAAGCCCAUGGGUCGUGGCUGGACUUAUGGGGGGAUCAUUCAUGGGGCAGCAGCUUCUCAUUUCUAGGACUCUGUUUCUGAUAUUGUUCCCGCUGCAUCUGCUCAUCCCCAUGGUGAAUGUUGCUGUUGAUCUGUAGAUUGGAUUUGUUGGUCGGUAGUUUGAUUAGAUUUGUGCUGAAUCAUAAUCUCUGCCUGUGAUAUUUUUCUUCAUUGCGGAUGUGUGCCGAGUAUUAUCCCCUUUGUUCAUUCUGUUGGCUUGCUUUCAUUGAUCUUAAGAUAACUGGUGUCAUAAAUUCACACUAGCUGAUGCACUUGCAGAUAGCUAUGUAAAUAUGAAAAAGAAGUAUUUUUUUUUAUCCUUUUGUUUUUUUUGCAUCAUAUCUGUUUAAAGGUACAGCAUUAGGAUUUUUUUUUGUUUCUGGGGAAUCAUAUCUGCUUAAAUGGUAUAGAAAAUGCUGAGCGUACUGUCAAAUAGAUUUUCCAGCAGUCUGCUUUCAGUUGUUUGCCGCGCAUUCACUGGGGAAGCACGCGCCAGGCAUCACCAGGCUCCUCGUGCCCCUGCUCUGCUCCAAGGACUCGGUGCUUCGACGCGCUGCUUUCCCUGUCAUUGUUAUGUUGAUAUUGGUUUACACGUGUCAUUCACCCCAAAUGGUGUUGCAAGGUUGAACCUAUUGUGGGAGGCUUUUGGUUUCCCUUGACCAAGUAUCACUAGUGAUAUCACUGCGUUCUGGUUAUGUAUGAAACACUUGUCUUUUUAAAACCUUUCUGAAUUUAGAAACGAAUUUGAAACCUUGGUUAUUCAUCAUGGGUUCACAGAUUUGUUUUUCUUUAAAAGAAUUGGGAAGUAGCUUUCUUUCUGGGUAUAUGUGGGGAAAUGCAUAUGCAAUCUUUUAUUUAUUGAGGUGACUGUAAAAUUCUUGUCUGACUGAAUAUGCGAUUUCAACCUACAUGCUAUACUUAGGGAAAUUUGUGAAUCUCCUAAUGUGGCUUAUAUGUGUGGAGUCACUUAACCUAUGCACUUGGACCUCCACGUUUUAUGAACCUAAUUUGACAGCCUGCUCGUCUUUUAUUUUCUACCAAUCAGCUAGGAACGAACAUGGUGAUGUUUGCAUCUCUGCCAUCAAUGGCUUACAUGUCAUUAUGUAUCACAUUAGCAAGUCUUGUUUUGUUAUUGGGCGGGAUGACGGGGACACUGGCUGGAAUUAAAUCAAAGUGGUAGAUCACAGGGUAUUCAUUGCCAUGUAUUUCUGCAGUUGCAUGGACUUGCAUCAAACGGACCUCCCUACUUAUGUGAUUGUCCUAUAUGAUCUCCUUUGAUUUCAUUUGCAUAGAGCUAUGUACACUGUAAUCACAUUAGCUAGAACACUCGCUUUUUGCUUCAAAUUUGAAAUUCAUACCAUGAUGGACUUGAACGCUGAAUUUCUUGAUUGCUGAGUUAGUAAUCACAUUGUGGCGCUGCCACAGAAGCUGGACUCUUCAUUGUUGUUGCCUUGUGGGCUGCCGUGUGCAAAGAACAAGAGCGCACGGUAUUAUAAUAGCAGAGCAGAACACAGACAAGCGACAAGGAGCGGAGCAGAGCAGAGCACAGCCAAGCACAAGCAGUAGAGUAGAGCAGAGCAACCGGGAGAGGAGAGGGCACAUAUGCAGAGUAGAGCAGAGCCAAGCGCAAGCAUUCAUGCACUCAAGCAUGCAGCAGAGGUGUAGCAAGGCAAGCACAAGCAGCAGAGCAGAGGGAAGGGAAGGCUGGGAGAUGAAUAGGCGAAUAGUUAGUUACCUGGACAGAGCAGAGGGAAUGGAGAUGAUGCAGAUGCUUCCGGAGACUGGAGAUUUGGAGAGGAACAAGGCCACGUUGUGAACAAGGUCUCCUUUCUCUUCUCUAUUUCCCGUGCAAUACUCGUGCAUAGUGGCUGCCUCAUCCUCCAGGACGCCCACUUCAACCUGAGGCGGGUGCCACAGAUAUCCUGGCUAGGCGACGGCUAUCCCCAGCACGCCCCAGCGCCUUACGAACUAUGAUCCUAAUACUAUAAAUUGUCACGUACUCACCUUGUAAUCUUGUUUCAAGCAUGCUCUAUAUGUCAACCUGUAAGGUUAACUUCGUUUUUCCUUUUCUGGGUAGGGAAGUGGAUAUUGCUGUUAUUUAUGUUAUGUUGAUAUUGGUUUCCACAUGUCAUUCAUCCCAAAUGUGUUGCAAGGUUGAACCUAUCAUCGGAGGAAUUUUUUUCCCUUGACCUUUAUAUCACUACGCUCUGGUUAUGUAUGAAACGCUUGUCUUCUUAAAAACCUUAAUUUAGAAACGAAUUUGAAAUAUUAUCUUCGUUUACAUCCUGUAUAUGUGUUCUCUACCUUUUGUCCUAUAUUACCUUUUGUCCUAUAUGAUCUGCUUUGAUUUCAUUUGUGCAUAGUUUUUUCAAUUCAGACCUGGUGAUUUCUGAGGUUGAUGUGUCACACCCGAUUUUAAGAGUGCAUUAAAUACAUGUGCGCCAGGAUCAAGUUACACACAUGUACGACAUAAGCAAAUAUCAAAGACAGUGCCAUAACGAAAUAAAGAGAGUAUUAAUCAUUAUUACAUGAUCGAAAGUCUCAAAUAAACCACAAAGUCUAUUUAUUAUGCAGCGGAACUCCUAAGAUAGCAACGUCUCCAUAGGCAGCUGACUGAAGAACUGUACGCCUAGAACUUCUCAAAAUUGUGCAGGUACUCCUCCAAAUUAGCUUGGUCUGAAUAGCGGUUUUGCAAGGGUGAGUACAUUUAUGGUUGAUACUCAACAAGUCGUGGGAAACAGUGUAGUGUAAAGCAAAUCAAGGUAUGGCUAAGGCUUAAACAGCAUCAGCUUUUAAUUUAGUUGGUCAAAUUUUAUUAGCAAUUAACUAGAUGUAAGUUUAUACCACCCAAAAUUAAACAAGAACAUGAAUAAAAUAAUAACAUAACCAUAAAUGAAAUGACAAUAAUUUAAAUCCAUCUUUCGAUAGCAUUAUCAUGUGAGCAAUUUUUUCCCCUUGACCUUUAUAUCACUACACUCUGGUUAUGUAUGAAACACUUGUCUUCUUAAAAAUCUUAAUUUAGAAACGAAUUUGAAGCAUUAUCUUCAUUUACAUCCUGUAUAUGUGUUUUCUACCUUUUGUCCUAUAUGAUCUGCUUUGAUUUAAUUUGUGCAUAGUUUUUUCAAUUCAGACCAAUUUCUGAGGUUCAUGUUGUGCUGAUAAGCAGCCUACUAUUCAAUAACACUUUCAUGUGGCAUGUUCAUGUUAGCUAGCUAGAAACACUGUGCUUUUAGCUUCAAAAUUCAAAUUCAUGAUAUUAUGGACAUUGACAAUGAAUUUCUUGAUUGCUAAGCUAUGUACACUGUAAUCAAAUUGUGGGGCUGAUAAAAUAAGUAGCGUUGAGACACAUAACAAUUGAAUCUUAAGCUUCACACAGAAUCUGGACUAGUCAUCCUCAUUCUUGUCAUGCUGGAAAUGUCUUUGAUACAUUUCAAUCACAGGCAAUUGAAUUCGUACUGGGGAGGAUGGCAAUGGUGCGUGAAGAGAGAUCAAUGUGGCAAAUCUCACACUGUUCAUUACCAGGUAUCUCUGAUUUCUGGUUAUUUUAAAUUUACCUUGACAUGUGACUUAUUGAGGUAGUGUAUUUCAUCUAAUGGUAGUUCUGAAUUUAUGGUAACCUUGGAUGGGGUUUGUCACUUUAUCCACGCACGGACUUACAAAGGACAGCAAAUGACUAUUUUUACAGGGCUCCUGUCUAACCAUGGACUAUACUUUAUGUACCCUUUUUUGACAUGGUAAUUUGAGGUUAAUGGAAAAGUAGCAUAUUUUCCCUGUAGUUACCUUGGGUUUACUUUCGCAUUGUUUUUUUACAGAGUUUGCAACCAGUGUUUCAUUAUCAGAUGAACGCAAGCAGAGGGUAUCACUCGUGGAGAGCCUUGGCGUUGCAGAGCAGUCCCACUCCAACUUGUAGAUAGUAUAUAUUCCCUCUGUUCUAAAAUGUAAGGUAUUUUGAUUUUUUUAGAUAUAUAGAUUCUACUAUGCUAACCUGAUAACCCCAUAAUCCAUCCUGAGGAAAAACCAGGCUAAGAAUAAGUGCUUUCAUGACAUUUAAAUGUCCUGGAAAGUCUUGUUUUGUUUAUAUGCUUAAGCAAAGUAGCUCUGGAGGGCAUGAAAGAAAAGCAUCGUGUUGAUGAGUAUUGCUGGAUGUUUAACUAUUAGUAUGGUAUAUUUAACUGAACAAGGCCUAGGACAGCACAAGGAUGGCCUUUAGGACAGCAUUGCUUUCUCGGCCUAAUUGGCGCCUUACAUUUGGCGACCAUACACGGCCCGUUAAGGAAAUUUAUGCCCAAGUUUGCCGAAGCAUUUAAGGCACAAAUGUUUUUGACUUCUGAUGGCCUGUUUUUGACCUCCCAUGGCCCAGUAGCGACCCUAGUUUUUAUCAGCAAUGACCAAAUGUUAGCCCAGUUUUGCCCCAUCUUAGGGUCUAAUCAUGGACCAAUAAAACAUGUGCUAGACUUCAUGGCCACCGGAUGCGUGUUCGGCCACGUAAUCGUGUGCUAUAGCUCACGGGAGGCUGAAAAUGGCCUGAAGGGGCACAGUGGAUGAAAACGUUAGGGACGCUCGGAACACAAGAAAAUGACCACCAGAUACGUGUUUGGCCAUUGUAACUGUGCGCUAUAGUUGAUAGGUCGAAAGCGGCUUGAAGAGGCAUCAGUGAUGGAAACAUGGGGGAUGGUCGGAACACUUGAAAAUGGCACUGGAUAAGUGUGCUUAUUCCUUGCGGGAUGCUGAAAAUGGCUUGGAAGGGUCAUCUAGGAUGGAAACUAGGUGGACAAUAAGUGAAAAUGGGCAGCGGACACGUGUUCGGUCAUGUAACCGUGUGCUAUAGUCCACUAGAGGUCGGAAAACUGCCCUAGGGACUCUAGAGAUGAAAAUGUGAGGAACAGCUGAAAGGUUACGUGUUUGGCCAUGACAGCCCUAUUAGGAAGCGAUAGAAGUGGAAAGAUAGCUGGUUUCAUAUUGGCAUCCCAUCUCUGAACUUUUGCUUCCCCCUUCCCUCCGUAAUCCCGGGGCAUCGAAUUAAAAAGUAUACAAAUCACUUUCAGAUGUAAUUGAGGGUAAAGAGGGGAGGUUUCACGAGACUCUACAAUGUUCAAAUCAUUCGUUCGUUAGGAUGCCUCAGCUUCAUACAUUGUUGCACUUCCACUUGACACCUAUUUAAAUGGUUCGUCUCGCUGCUACAAGGUAUCAUCAGAUAUAGAAGAAUCAGAGACCGGGGGUAAUAGCAAAAAAGGAAUAUAACUCGUCUGAGGAAGUGGGCGCAGGGGCAGUGGGGUAAGGUAAUUGAAGUAACUAGCCAGUUUCUUCCCGAAACUUUCCAAGAAAAAUUCCGAAUUGGAUCCAAAAUUGACGGAUUAAUCAACCAAAAUAACCGUGAGCAGCCACAAUGUUAUAAAUGUUAUAAGUCCCUUCUUCUUGACCAAAUUUGUAACUCUUAUUAGCAGACUCAUUUUUAGUGGUUUCCCUGAUCAAACUAGAGGUUACCAAGGAACCGUGUGCUAUAGCCCACAGAUGCCUGGAAACAGCUAGGAAGGGCUUCGGGGAUGGAAACAACGUGGACGGUCGGAACACGUGAGAAUGACCACGGGAUACAUGUUUGGCCCUGUAACAGUGUGCUAUAGGAAGCCGGAAAUGGCUAGGAGGGUCACCAGGGAUGAAGAUGCAGGGAUGGAUGGAACAUGUGAAAAUGACCACUAGUGGUUAGUGGCAGGUCUAGAGAGAUAUCUCAUCAAAUUGGUGAGUUAUAUCCGGUUUAAACGAGGAUAAAAAUGGGUGUAUUUUCCACUCAUCAUAUUGUCUUUUCGUAGCUGUACCGCCUUUCGUGUGUUGUAUUGUUCCCCAAACACUAAGUCUCCGAGGCUUGAGAAAAUAAGGAAAGUGAUAGCAGCCCAAAAAUUGACCAAGUUUCUUUCCCCCUCUGGCUUUCUACUAGGAUUCAGAAUCCUCUUUUCCAUGACAAUCUUAAUUAUCUCCCAUACUCCAAAACUCACAAAAACAUCAAGAGUCCGCUGAGAAUAAAUUUAAGUAAAAAACAUGCACACAUAGAUCCACAUCCAAUGGCAAGGAAAGGGGCGUCAGACAAAGCCCAAUGGCAACUGCUGACAUGCGAUUAAAUUCAGAUCCACAUCCGGCCAUUCAAUAAUACGGUUGGAGUUGUGGCACAGAUAUAUUAUUGCAUGAUCAUCAAGAUAAGAUCGUACAGUGACUGAGUGAGACAAUAAAUAGCCAAGUAAACUAUUUUAUCCUGCUGCAAGCUGCAUUCAUAAGUUUAUUUCACCUUUGAUCACAAUACUCUUCACACACGUACGUCUCAGGGAGAUCUCACUUCCGCUGGACUGCUCACUUCCGCUGUCGUCGGUACUGCCAAAGACAUAAGCUCACAUCUGCUAUUGCGGAGCAGGCCAAUUUGCUGCGGAACUUCGGCGACGACCUGAAGGACAUGAACUCGGUGCUGGAGUCCAUCUCAGCAGCGCUCUAGGACGCUGACACCGGUAGAAAAACGACCUUCCAUCGUCAACAAAAAUCCCGGUAGCUUUUUUACUCGGUACUAAAGAGGUUUUAAUCUCGUGCAAACACCUUUAGUCCAGAUUGCUAUUACCACGCAACCCGGACUAAAGCGUCCCCCGCGAGUUAGUAUAUAAGGAUUGCAUCCUUUACUCAGUCAGAUAUAAUAUGUAGGUGAGAUGGUAAGGAAGCUAUGCGUGAGGCUUCAGGUUGUGGGUUCGAAUCCAAGUGGGUGCAGCUGUGGCUUAAGCGGCUGAGGCACGCCGCCAUAGACAUCUCAGAUUUGCUCGAAGACUACCAAGACACUAGUGAACCCUUAACAGUAAAGGUGAGUACUUAUGAAUGUCAGCAUCCAUGUUGUCCAUGCUUCCAAUGUAAUAACAAGAUGGACUACUCUUCCUAGCGGACUCUUCACAACCACUCGUAAAGCUAUGCGUUUCUCAAUGCAAUUUCGUAGAAGCCAAUCGAUCCAACCAAGUGACUAAAUCAUUCGUCCUUUCCAAUGAUGUGCAUCAGGUUUUCUAUAUGAAGGGCAUGUCUAGCAAACCUAAGAUUUCAGAAGAAAAAGAAAAAUCAUUGGAGCCAAAGAGCCACAUAGUUCUUCUAGGAAAAAAAUCAUGGGAGUCGAGAACAUAUCAAACCAAUCAGGGGAUUAUGGUCAGCUUAAUGGCAUGCCUCCAUUCGAUGUCGAAGUUCACCCAAGCAUCAUGUUAGCCAAACAUCAAAUGUUCGUGCGUUGUUACGGUAAAGAUCAAUUGUGUUUUUUAAACUCUUGGAAUUUUUUUAUCUAAGUUUUUAUUUACACUUAUUGGAUGUCUACACAUUUGCUAGAAAACUAAAAUAAUUUGGACUUAAUUAUUUCUUUCAACUGAAGUACUCACUAAAUUUCUACCUUUUUAUUUAAGCAAGAGAGUUGCUAAAAAAAAUGGAUACGUAACCAUGUUGUAUCAUACAAAGUAACCACGUUUCACAUAUAGUCCGGCUUAGCAAACACCAUUGUUUUCUGAACAUAGCGUACAUGAGUUAACAGACAUGGAUUUAUUUCUAUUGCAAGUAGCAUAGCGUACAACCUGCCUGCACCGAUGCAGCUCAAUAUGCGAUAAUUUUUAUCUUCCCAUGUAAUUUUUCUACUCUAGUACAUAUUGAACUCCACAUUAAUGUCAUGUUCUUUCGCGCCCCAGAAGGUUCCUAAAGUUUGGAAACUUAAUAGAUAGCCAGAAUUUUUUUUAAAGAUAUUUAUAUGGAUACUUGUAUGUUCUUUCCAAACUAACAAUAUUGUUUACCAAUAUCAGAAGGAAUAUGGUUAGGAGCCAUUGCCGCAUAUGGCAGGUGAUGGUAGAUGGCGUAUGGGGUUUCGUUAAUUUAAUGGUAUAAUAAGCUGAAAUACAUUUUCUAUUUGCAAAUGAAUCAUAGCUGAAAUUGGUGGGAUUGUUUUUUUCGCCGGUUUAGCAUCCUGUGCACCAGUUCAACCGGAGGGAAGCUGUUUUUUUUCUUUGGUUUUCCACCGGUUCACCGAGACCGAUGACAAUUUUAUGGCAGAAUCAUUACUUGUUUUACUAUUAGGUGAAGAUUUUAGCGUUUAGGUAUCUCACAUUAAACGCAACUUCAACAAUCUAUUUCUAGUGUAUAAUGUAGGAGACCCCGUAAAGAGUCUACACACACAUAUAUGUUGACUAUGAAUGUAAGUUUGUUGGUUUUAUGUAUGUUCGUUUGGAGUUUAUGUAAAUUUUACAUUUUAUAGUUUUGUGUAUAUGACGAAGAUCCAUGACUUGCAUUAAUUUAGCCUUUCUUCCAACAACUCUUAUGCAUGCUGUUUCUAGGCGAGCGUACUGGUUGCAAUUUUGGUCCCCGAUAUAGUGUGAGGACUUAAGGGACACGUGCAGGUCGUAACCUUAGAUAUUUUUGCUGAGAAUGGAUGAAGAAGCAAUAAUAUACUUUGCUUCUGAUUUUCUCCAUGUCAUUUGCUUACUCUUAUCCCUUUUAUUUAUCAUUAUAAGAUGAAAAUAUUGUAAAAACUUGGCUACGUGCGGUCGCAGAAGCUAGAGACUAAAGCGUCCCCCACGAGUUACUAUAUAAAAGGAUUGCAUCCUCUACUCAGUCAUAUGUACUGUGUAGGUGAGAUGGUAAGGAAGCUAUGUGUGAGGCUUGAGGUUGUAGGUUCGAAUCCCACGCACCGCGUGCGCAUGCGCAUAUUUUGCGUGAAAAAUCGCAUGACUUGUGGUCGGCCAAGGAGAAGUGCGUGCGGCUGAGGCACGCCGCCAUAGACAUCUCGGAUUUGCUCCAAGACUACCAAGACACUAGCGAACCCUUAACGGCAAAGUUGAGUACUUACGCGUGUUAGCAUCUAUGUUGUCCAUGCUUCCAAUGCAAUAACAAGAAGGGCUACUCAUCCUAGCGGAUUCUUCACAACCACUCGUAAAGCUAUGCGUUUCUCAAUGCAAUUUCGUAGAUGUCAAUCGAUCCAACCAAGCGACUGAAUCAUUCGUCCUUGCUAAUGAUGUGCAUCAGGUUUUCUAUAUGAAGAACAUGUCUAGCAAAUCCAAGAUUUCAGAAGAAAAAUAAAAAUCAUGAGAACCAAAGCACCACGUAGUUCUUCCAGGUAAAAAAAACAAUCAUCCACUGGGAUGACACACAGUAGCGAUCCAAAACGUCCAUAUUAAGACUUUUUGAUAGCAGAAAAAACAUGAAAAUGUCUAAUAUUUGUAGUAUUAAAAGGAAAAAUAAUAUAUUCACUUGACCUUUUUUUCGUAGCAACGCACCGGUGCGUAGUCAGACUUAGGCCACGUUUGGAUACUCCCUACUAAAGUUUAGCACCUGUCACAUAGGAUGUUUGGAUACUAAUUAGGAGUAUUAAACAUAGGCUAAUUAUAAAACUAAUUGAACAGAUGGAGUCUAAUUUGCGAGACGAAUCUAUUAAGCCUAACUAGUCCAUGAUUUGACAAUGUGGUGCUACAGUAACCAUUUGCUAAUGGUGGAUUAAUUAGGCUUAAUAGAUUCGUCUCGCGAAUUAACAUAGGGUUCUGCAAUUAAUUUUAUAAUUAGCUCAUGUCUAGUCCUUCUAAUUAGCAUCCGAACAUCUGAUAUGAUACUGCUAAAGUUUAUCACCUAGUAUCCAAAUACCCCCUUAAUGCACGAUGCCUGUGCAUCCACUGGGCCUACCCUCGUGGAUCACGCGCUCGUGGAUCACGCGCACCAUGACAUGGCUCAUUAGCUAGUCGUGCUAAUCCUUACCACCAAAUUAAAAACUAGCAUGUGUUGUGUGUUUGUGACCCUAAACGACUACCACCUUCCCGAGUCCACCGGAGUUGCCAGUUCACCACUAAGCUGACUCUCCGAGCUUCAUGUCACUGUCACCGCUCCAAAGACCUAGAUCGGUUCGCUGUGCACCCCGCUUCGUCCUGAGCUAAAUCCCAUCACGAAAGGUGACCGGAUGCUCGUUUUCGAGCGAAUUCUAGCGAGAUUGCCACCACCUUUCCCCUUCCAGCCGAUCGCAGCUGUCUGAUCACAAACCGACAGCCCAGAUCGGAUUUGACCAGGUCAAUACCGGUCAAGCCGAGAUGCAUGCUGCUUUUGCAAGAAGGCCCCUAUUUUUCUCUCUUUUUGCACUUGAGGUCCUACGCAGUUCAAAAGUAAUUAGAUCUAGAUCCUUUUUCUUCUGUUUUAGCCCUGUUCUUUUAUAAAAUCCCACCCGCCAUCCUGUUUGGUAUUUUGACAUGUUAGACCUUCUAUUUAUAUGUUUAAUUAGGUUUUAGCCCUUGGUUUCUUUAAGUUUAGCUCUUGGAAGUUUAGUUUUCUCGCAGUUAAGCCCCUGAACCUUGUUUAGUUCAUAUCUUUAGCGUUUUAAAUCCGUUUUAAGAGAUUCUUACGCCCAUAAGUUCGUGUUGAUGCAUAGAUUAGUUGACUUAUACGGACCUUGCUGAUUCAGCUCCUUCAUUGUGCUUCAGAUCUCGCUAGUGAAGAAUAAUGGAUGGGCUUUGGUUGAGCUUGUAGAUCGACCUGCAGUUGCAGUGAAUGUGCUGAGGACUGGCGGUACCAAUAAUGGGAGGCCGCUGCUCUGCUUGCUACCAAGGCCUGCGACGCUUGGACGCCAUUCAGAGUGCAUAAUUUCCAAGGAUCUCAAGGGCUCCACACCACGUUCCAAGUGUUUUUUCUUUGCCGAGUGUUUUUAGCUCGGCACUUGGCAAAGAGCUUGUUUGCCGAGUGUCCGAAAAAAACACUUGGCAAAGAGAAAACACUCGGCAAAUUUGAUGUUUCCCGUAGUGAUGUACUAUUCAAACUUGAACUGGGAUGCAGGCUUCAGUACCAAAGAGAGCUCUGGGCGCGGGUGAGCAGUGAGCUGGCCGGGCAGGGAGCUCCAAAGCGACAGCAACAAAGAGAGAAAUGCUAAGAGUAAGAACGACACACGAGGUCACUUCACAUAGAUAAUAGCAGUACGAACCAUACAAUAUCCUCUCUCAGUUUCACUCCGCCUCACACACGGCUAGCACACCAUGCAUGCCGAUUUCAUAUUAUUAAUAUUAUUUUUUGGAUGGUUGUUGAAACUAUAUAUAUAGUUAGUCCAAUCUCACGUUUCCGAUUAUAAAAAUCAACGUAAAGAGAUCGGUAGGGAGAGCCGGCAUAAUGAAGCCGACGCGUGUAAUAAGCACCAGAGCCGGCAUUUAUACAAACUGGUACGAAUAGUAAAAAACUAGAAUUUAUAAAUAAAAAAAUGAUUUGCACAUCUAUGCAAUAAUUAGGGGUUAGUGGCAGGUCUAGAGAGAUAUCUCAUCAUUAUAUCCGGUUUAACGAGGAUAAAAAAGAGUGUAUUUUCCACUCAUCAUGUUGUCUUUUCGCAGCGGUACCACUUUUCGUGUGUUGUAUCGGUCCCCUAAUACGGAGUCUCCGAGGCCCGAGAAAAUAAGGAAAGUGAUAGUAGCCCAGAAAUCGGCCAAGUUUCUUUCCCCUUUGGCUUUCCUACUAGGAUUCAGAAUCCUCUUUCGCAUGACAAUCUUAAUUAUCUCCCAUACUCCAAAACUCACAAAAACAUCAAGAGUCCGCUGAGAAUAAAUUUAAGUAAAAAACAUGCACACACAGAUAAUAAUAAUAAUCAUGUUUCCAUAAAAUUGCUAAGUCCAGAGAUAAUACAUAAACAUAGUAGACUGUUCAUGACACAUAUCACGGUGGACAGUGUUUGUGUCCUUAUUACAAGCAACGAGAGAUGCUCGUCACCAACACGCGCGCGCACAGAUGCACGACAUACAUAUAGUAGAGACCAACAGAUGGUCGUCCCAUAUGGUGAACAAUUUAUUGGAGAUAAAUAUUAACGUAACUUGGCCAUAGCUUGAAGCAUAGCAACAUAUGCCUAUGAGUGGCAUUCAUGCUAUCGUUUUAGGCUUGUCCAGCUCCUUCCAUCUUAGCAAGCACUUCCAUUUCUACCAUCUUAGCAGCAACUGUCAAAUUGAGAUACGGAAAUCCCAUUAGCGCAUGAGUUAAUUUUGCAGUGGAAAUAGAGUACAAGAUGUCUUCAUGAUGUAAGUAAUAUGCCUGAAGUUGUGAGAUGGGAAGUGAAGUCAACAAAUUACAUUAACGGAAAUGCAUGGAAGGCCACACAUACGUAUUAGUCCAUGAUAUGCUACAAAGCUUGUAUGUACAUAUAGCAAAUUAAAUGCAUUAAUUGAAUAGAGUGUGUUUAGUGAAUUUACCAGAAUCGUCCAGAAAACAUGGGAAACAGCAAGUGUUCUUGCAGACUGCGUCGGAGGCACCCGCACGAAUACAAAGCUGACAACAUAGUUUUGCCUGGGCGGAUGCGCAGCAGCCGCACUCCGCCGCGGUGGGGUUAACAUUGAGGCUCAAGAUGACCAGGCACAUGAUCACCAUCAAAGUGGUAGUCCUCUUUCCCUCCAUUGCCUCCUCUUAGCUUGCUGCUACCUUCCUUGGUUACCUAGCUAAGUUUAUUGGUUUUGUGUUGAGAGGUGUGAUUCUUGAAUGGACGUUGCCGGCGGCAAUUUAUAGGCAGCUGAGCUAUGUGAUGAUAUGGACUAGGUGCAAAUGGGUGGUUAAUGGCAAGGAAAGGGGCGUCAGACAAAGCCCAAUGGCAACUGCUGACAUGCGAUUAAAUUCAGAUCCACAUCCGGCCAUUCAAUAAUACGGUUGGAGUUGUGGCACAGAUAUAUUAUUGCAUGAUCAUCAAGAUAAGAUCGUACAGUGACUGAGUGAGACAAUAAAUAGCCAAGUAAACUAUUUUAUCCUGCUGCAAGCUGCAUUCAUAAGUUUAUUUCACCUUUGAUCACAAUACUCUUCACACACGUACGUCUCAGGGAGAUCUCACUUCCGCUGGACUGCUCACUUCCGCUGUCGUCGGUACUGCCAAAGACAUAAGCUCACAUCUGCUAUUGCGGAGCAGGCCAAUUUGCUGCGGAACUUCGGCGACGACCUGAAGGACAUGAACUCGGUGCUGGAGUCCAUCUCAGCAGCGCUCUAGGACGCUGACACCGGUAGAAAAACGACCUUCCAUCGUCAACAAAAAUCCCGGUAGCUUUUUUACUCGGUACUAAAGAGGUUUUAAUCUCGUGCAAACACCUUUAGUCCAGAUUGCUAUUACCACGCAACCCGGACUAAAGCGUCCCCCGCGAGUUAGUAUAUAAGGAUUGCAUCCUUUACUCAGUCAGAUAUAAUAUGUAGGUGAGAUGGUAAGGAAGCUAUGCGUGAGGCUUCAGGUUGUGGGUUCGAAUCCAAGUGGGUGCAGCUGUGGCUUAAGCGGCUGAGGCACGCCGCCAUAGACAUCUCAGAUUUGCUCGAAGACUACCAAGACACUAGUGAACCCUUAACAGUAAAGGUGAGUACUUAUGAAUGUCAGCAUCCAUGUUGUCCAUGCUUCCAAUGUAAUAACAAGAUGGACUACUCUUCCUAGCGGACUCUUCACAACCACUCGUAAAGCUAUGCGUUUCUCAAUGCAAUUUCGUAGAAGCCAAUCGAUCCAACCAAGUGACUAAAUCAUUCGUCCUUUCCAAUGAUGUGCAUCAGGUUUUCUAUAUGAAGGGCAUGUCUAGCAAACCUAAGAUUUCAGAAGAAAAAGAAAAAUCAUUGGAGCCAAAGAGCCACAUAGUUCUUCUAGGAAAAAAAUCAUGGGAGUCGAGAACAUAUCAAACCAAUCAGGGGAUUAUGGUCAGCUUAAUGGCAUGCCUCCAUUCGAUGUCGAAGUUCACCCAAGCAUCAUGUUAGCCAAACAUCAAAUGUUCGUGCGUUGUUACGGUAAAGAUCAAUUGUGUUUUUUAAACUCUUGGAAUUUUUUUAUCUAAGUUUUUAUUUACACUUAUUGGAUGUCUACACAUUUGCUAGAAAACUAAAAUAAUUUGGACUUAAUUAUUUCUUUCAACUGAAGUACUCACUAAAUUUCUACCUUUUUAUUUAAGCAAGAGAGUUGCUAAAAAAAAUGGAUACGUAACCAUGUUGUAUCAUACAAAGUAACCACGUUUCACAUAUAGUCCGGCUUAGCAAACACCAUUGUUUUCUGAACAUAGCGUACAUGAGUUAACAGACAUGGAUUUAUUUCUAUUGCAAGUAGCAUAGCGUACAACCUGCCUGCACCGAUGCAGCUCAAUAUGCGAUAAUUUUUAUCUUCCCAUGUAAUUUUUCUACUCUAGUACAUAUUGAACUCCACAUUAAUGUCAUGUUCUUUCGCGCCCCAGAAGGUUCCUAAAGUUUGGAAACUUAAUAGAUAGCCAGAAUUUUUUUUAAAGAUAUUUAUAUGGAUACUUGUAUGUUCUUUCCAAACUAACAAUAUUGUUUACCAAUAUCAGAAGGAAUAUGGUUAGGAGCCAUUGCCGCAUAUGGCAGGUGAUGGUAGAUGGCGUAUGGGGUUUCGUUAAUUUAAUGGUAUAAUAAGCUGAAAUACAUUUUCUAUUUGCAAAUGAAUCAUAGCUGAAAUUGGUGGGAUUGUUUUUUUCGCCGGUUUAGCAUCCUGUGCACCAGUUCAACCGGAGGGAAGCUGUUUUUUUUCUUUGGUUUUCCACCGGUUCACCGAGACCGAUGACAAUUUUAUGGCAGAAUCAUUACUUGUUUUACUAUUAGGUGAAGAUUUUAGCGUUUAGGUAUCUCACAUUAAACGCAACUUCAACAAUCUAUUUCUAGUGUAUAAUGUAGGAGACCCCGUAAAGAGUCUACACACACAUAUAUGUUGACUAUGAAUGUAAGUUUGUUGGUUUUAUGUAUGUUCGUUUGGAGUUUAUAUAAAUUUUACAUUUUAUAGUUUUGUGUAUAUGACGAAGAUCCAUGACUUGCAUUAAUUUAGCCUUUCUUCCAACAACUCUUAUGCAUGCUGUUUCUAGGCGAGCGUACUGGUUGCAAUUUUGGUCCCCGAUAUAGUGUGAGGACUUAAGGGACACGUGCAGGUCGUAACCUUAGAUAUUUUUGCUGAGAAUGGAUGAAGAAGCAAUAAUAUACUUUGCUUCUGAUUUUCUCCAUGUCAUUUGCUUACUCUUAUCCCUUUUAUUUAUCAUUAUAAGAUGAAAAUAUUGUAAAAACUUGGCUACGUGCGGUCGCAGAAGCUAGAGACUAAAGCGUCCCCCACGAGUUACUAUAUAAAAGGAUUGCAUCCUCUACUCAGUCAUAUGUACUGUGUAGGUGAGAUGGUAAGGAAGCUAUGUGUGAGGCUUGAGGUUGUAGGUUCGAAUCCCACGCACCGCGUGCGCAUGCGCAUAUUUUGCGUGAAAAAUCGCAUGACUUGUGGUCGGCCAAGGAGAAGUGCGUGCGGCUGAGGCACGCCGCCAUAGACAUCUCGGAUUUGCUCCAAGACUACCAAGACACUAGCGAACCCUUAACGGCAAAGUUGAGUACUUACGCGUGUUAGCAUCUAUGUUGUCCAUGCUUCCAAUGCAAUAACAAGAAGGGCUACUCAUCCUAGCGGAUUCUUCACAACCACUCGUAAAGCUAUGCGUUUCUCAAUGCAAUUUCGUAGAUGUCAAUCGAUCCAACCAAGCGACUGAAUCAUUCGUCCUUGCUAAUGAUGUGCAUCAGGUUUUCUAUAUGAAGAACAUGUCUAGCAAAUCCAAGAUUUCAGAAGAAAAAUAAAAAUCAUGAGAACCAAAGCACCACGUAGUUCUUCCAGGUAAAAAAAACAAUCAUCCACUGGGAUGACACACAGUAGCGAUCCAAAACGUCCAUAUUAAGACUUUUUGAUAGCAGAAAAAACAUGAAAAUGUCUAAUAUUUGUAGUAUUAAAAGGAAAAAUAAUAUAUUCACUUGACCUUUUUUUCGUAGCAACGCACCGGUGCGUAGUCAGACUUAGGCCACGUUUGGAUACUCCCUACUAAAGUUUAGCACCUGUCACAUAGGAUGUUUGGAUACUAAUUAGGAGUAUUAAACAUAGGCUAAUUAUAAAACUAAUUGAACAGAUGGAGUCUAAUUUGCGAGACGAAUCUAUUAAGCCUAACUAGUCCAUGAUUUGACAAUGUGGUGCUACAGUAACCAUUUGCUAAUGGUGGAUUAAUUAGGCUUAAUAGAUUCGUCUCGCGAAUUAACAUAGGGUUCUGCAAUUAAUUUUAUAAUUAGCUCAUGUCUAGUCCUUCUAAUUAGCAUCCGAACAUCUGAUAUGAUACUGCUAAAGUUUAUCACCUAGUAUCCAAAUACCCCCUUAAUGCACGAUGCCUGUGCAUCCACUGGGCCUACCCUCGUGGAUCACGCGCUCGUGGAUCACGCGCACCAUGACAUGGCUCAUUAGCUAGUCGUGCUAAUCCUUACCACCAAAUUAAAAACUAGCAUGUGUUGUGUGUUUGUGACCCUAAACGACUACCACCUUCCCGAGUCCACCGGAGUUGCCAGUUCACCACUAAGCUGACUCUCCGAGCUUCAUGUCACUGUCACCGCUCCAAAGACCUAGAUCGGUUCGCUGUGCACCCCGCUUCGUCCUGAGCUAAAUCCCAUCACGAAAGGUGACCGGAUGCUCGUUUUCGAGCGAAUUCUAGCGAGAUUGCCACCACCUUUCCCCUUCCAGCCGAUCGCAGCUGUCUGAUCACAAACCGACAGCCCAGAUCGGAUUUGACCAGGUCAAUACCGGUCAAGCCGAGAUGCAUGCUGCUUUUGCAAGAAGGCCCCUAUUUUUCUCUCUUUUUGCACUUGAGGUCCUACGCAGUUCAAAAGUAAUUAGAUCUAGAUCCUUUUUCUUCUGUUUUAGCCCUGUUCUUUUAUAAAAUCCCACCCGCCAUCCUGUUUGGUAUUUUGACAUGUUAGACCUUCUAUUUAUAUGUUUAAUUAGGUUUUAGCCCUUGGUUUCUUUAAGUUUAGCUCUUGGAAGUUUAGUUUUCUCGCAGUUAAGCCCCUGAACCUUGUUUAGUUCAUAUCUUUAGCGUUUUAAAUCCGUUUUAAGAGAUUCUUACGCCCAUAAGUUCGUGUUGAUGCAUAGAUUAGUUGACUUAUACGGACCUUGCUGAUUCAGCUCCUUCAUUGUGCUUCAGAUCUCGCUAGUGAAGAAUAAUGGAUGGGCUUUGGUUGAGCUUGUAGAUCGACCUGCAGUUGCAGUGAAUGUGCUGAGGACUGGCGGUACCAAUAAUGGGAGGCCGCUGCUCUGCUUGCUACCAAGGCCUGCGACGCUUGGACGCCAUUCAGAGUGCAUAAUUUCCAAGGAUCUCAAGGGCUCCACACCACGUUCCAAGUGUUUUUUCUUUGCCGAGUGUUUUUAGCUCGGCACUUGGCAAAGAGCUUGUUUGCCGAGUGUCCGAAAAAAACACUUGGCAAAGAGAAAACACUCGGCAAAUUUGAUGUUUCCCGUAGUGAUGUACUAUUCAAACUUGAACUGGGAUGCAGGCUUCAGUACCAAAGAGAGCUCUGGGCGCGGGUGAGCAGUGAGCUGGCCGGGCAGGGAGCUCCAAAGCGACAGCAACAAAGAGAGAAAUGCUAAGAGUAAGAACGACACACGAGGUCACUUCACAUAGAUAAUAGCAGUACGAACCAUACAAUAUCCUCUCUCAGUUUCACUCCGCCUCACACACGGCUAGCACACCAUGCAUGCCGAUUUCAUAUUAUUAAUAUUAUUUUUUGGAUGGUUGUUGAAACUAUAUAUAUAGUUAGUCCAAUCUCACGUUUCCGAUUAUAAAAAUCAACGUAAAGAGAUCGGAAGGGAGAGCCGGCAUAAUGAAGCCGACGCGUGUAAUAAGCACCAGAGCCGGCAUUUAUACAAACUGGUACGAAUAGUAAAAAACUAGAAUUUAUAAAUAAAAAAAUGAUUUGCACAUCUAUGCAAUAAUUAGGGGUUAGUGGCAGGUCUAGAGAGAUAUCUCAUCAUUAUAUCCGGUUUAACGAGGAUAAAAAAGAGUGUAUUUUCCACUCAUCAUGUUGUCUUUUCGCAGCGGUACCACUUUUCGUGUGUUGUAUCGGUCCCCUAAUACGGAGUCUCCGAGGCCCGAGAAAAUAAGGAAAGUGAUAGUAGCCCAGAAAUCGGCCAAGUUUCUUUCCCCUUUGGCUUUCCUACUAGGAUUCAGAAUCCUCUUUCGCAUGACAAUCUUAAUUAUCUCCCAUACUCCAAAACUCACAAAAACAUCAAGAUUCCGCUGAGAAUAAAUUUAAGUAAAAAACAUGCACACACAGAUAAUAAUAAUAAUCAUGUUUCCAUAAAAUUGCUAAGUCCAGAGAUAAUACAUAAACAUAGUAGACUGUUCAUGACACAUAUCACGGUGGACAGUGUUUGUGUCCUUAUUACAAGCAACGAGAGAUGCUCGUCACCAACACGCGCGCGCACAGAUGCACGACAUACAUAUAGUAGAGACCAACAGAUGGUCGUCCCAUAUGGUGAACAAUUUAUUGGGGAUAAAUAUUAACGUAACUUGGCCAUAGCUUGAAGCAUAGCAACAUAUGCCUAUGAGUGGCAUUCAUGCUAUCGUUUUAGGCUUGUCCAGCUCCUUCCAUCUUAGCAAGCACUUCCAUUUCUACCAUCUUAGCAGCAACUGUCAAAUUGAGAUACGGAAAUCCCAUUAGCGCAUGAGUUAAUUUUGCAGUGGAAAUAGAGUACAAGAUGUCUUCAUGAUGUAAGUAAUAUGCCUGAAGUUGUGAGAUGGGAAGUGAAGUCAACAAAUUACAUUAACGGAAAUGCAUGGAAGGCCACACAUACGUAUUAGUCCAUGAUAUGCUACAAAGCUUGUAUGUACAUAUAGCAAAUUAAAUGCAUUAAUUGAAUAGAGUGUGUUUAGUGAAUUUACCAGAAUCGUCCAGAAAACAUGGGAAACAGCAAGUGUUCUUGCAGACUGCGUCGGAGGCACCCGCACGAAUACAAAGCUGACAACAUAGUUUUGCCUGGGCGGAUGCGCAGCAGCCGCACUCCGCCGCGGUGGGGUUAACAUUGAGGCUCAAGAUGACCAGGCACAUGAUCACCAUCAAAGUGGUAGUCCUCUUUCCCUCCAUUGCCUCCUCUUAGCUUGCUGCUACCUUCCUUGGUUACCUAGCUAAGUUUAUUGGUUUUGUGUUGAGAGGUGUGAUUUUUGAAUGGACGUUGCCGGCGGCAAUUUAUAGGCAGCUGAGCUAUGUGAUGAUAUGGACUAGGUGCAAAUGGGUGGUUAAUGGCAAGGAAAGGGGCGUCAGACAAAGCCC
This 22269-nucleotide long non-coding RNA is filed under the name Setaria viridis. RNAcentral's name for it is "long non-coding RNA (SVIR_LNC010032)". The record is from RNAcentral. Lineage: Eukaryota; Viridiplantae; Streptophyta; Magnoliopsida; Poales; Poaceae.